RNAcentral lists this long non-coding RNA (255 nucleotides) under Medicago truncatula (barrel medic). Its description in RNAcentral is "long non-coding RNA (MTRU_LNC005221)". Lineage: Eukaryota; Viridiplantae; Streptophyta; Magnoliopsida; Fabales; Fabaceae. The record is from RNAcentral.
GUUAACCUCGUCUAAGAGAGCGAACGAUCAAAAGGGAAGUGCCAACGUUCAUUUGAAAAGCAAUGGGUGCUUGUCCCUCAUUAAAGAGUUGACAAAGUACAAGUGUACAACCACUACCUCAACGACCCUGAGUGUGUCCUCGCUACAAGACAAGUUAACAGCUCUGCCUGCAGAAUUGUUCCUUCAAGAUAGGAAUGAAUUUGAAGUUGAUCCUUCAUAGGACUACACCCAAAUCAGGCAAAAGAUUACUGGUGG